This 399-nucleotide ribosomal RNA is filed under the name uncultured bacterium. RNAcentral's name for it is "bacterial SSU rRNA". It matches the Rfam family "Bacterial small subunit ribosomal RNA", at positions 28 to 407 of the family's 1533-position model. The record is from RNAcentral.
GACGAACGCUGGCGGCGUGCCUAACACAUGCAAGUCGAACGAAGCUCUGCGAUACAAGACUUCGGUCAAGUUGAACGGAUGACUUAGUGGCGGACGGGUGAGUAACGCGUGAGGAACCUGCCUUUCAGUGGGGGACAACAGUUGGAAACGACUGCUAAUACCGCAUAAUGUAUUCUGACCGCAUGAUCGGAAUACCAAAGAUUUAUUGCUGAAAGAUGGCCUCGCGUCUGAUUAGAUAGUUGGUGAGGUAACGGCUCACCAAGUCGACGAUCAGUAGCCGGACUGAGAGGUUGAACGGCCACAUUGGGACUGAGAUACGGGCCCAGACUCCUACGGGAGGCAGCAGUGGGGAAUAUUGGGCAAUGGGGGAAACCCUGACCCAGCAACGCCGCGUGAAGG